AUUGAACGCUGGCGGCAGGCCUAACACAUGCAAGUCGAGCGAGCGGCGGACGGGUGAGUAAUGCCUGGGAAUUGCCCAGUCGAGGGGGAUAACAGUUGGAAACGACUGCUAAUACCGCAUACGAUUGGAUUGCCCAGGUGGGAUUUGCUAGUUGGUGAGGUAAUGGCUCACCAAGGCGACGCUCCCUAGCUGGUCUGAGAGGAUGAUCAGCCACACUUGAACGGAGACACGGUCCAGCAUCCUACGGGAGGCAGCAGUAGGUAAUAUUACACAAUGGGGGAAACCCUGAUGCAGCCAUGCCGCGUGUGUGAGUAAGUCCUUCGGGUUGUAAAGCACUUUCAGUGAGGAAGCGUUACUCACAGAAGAAGCACCGGCUAACUCCGUGCCAGCAGCCGCGGUAAUUC
This 404-nucleotide ribosomal RNA is filed under the name uncultured bacterium. Its description in RNAcentral is "partial 16S ribosomal RNA". It matches the Rfam family "Bacterial small subunit ribosomal RNA", at positions 30 to 526 of the family's 1533-position model. The record is from RNAcentral.